AACGGGUGAGUAACACGUGAGUAACCUGCCCUUGACUCUGGGAUAAGCCUGGGAAACUGGGUCUAAUACCGGAUACGACCAUCUGGCGCAUGUCAUGGUGGUGGAAAGCUUUUGUGGUUUUGGAUGGACUCGCGGCCUAUCAGCUUGUUGGUGGGGUAAUGGCCUACCAAGGCGACGACGGGUAGCCGGCCUGAGAGGGUGACCGGCCACACUGGGACUGAGACACGGCCCAGACUCCUACGGGAGGCAGCAGUGGGGAAUAUUGCACAAUGGGCGCAAGCCUGAUGCAGCGACGCCGCGUGAGGGAUGACGGCCUUCGGGUUGUAAACCUCUUUCAGUAGGGAAGAAGCGAAAGUGACGGUACCUGCAGAAGAAGCGCCGGCUAACUACGUGCCAGCAGCCGCGGUAAUACGUAGGGCGCAAGCGUUAUCCGGAAUUAUUGGGCGUAAAGAGCUCGUAGGCGGUUUGUCGCGUCUGCUGUGAAAGACCGGGGCUCAACUCCGGUUCUGCAGUGGGUACGGGCAGACUAGAGUGCAGUAGGGGAGACUGGAAUUCCUGGUGUAGCGGUGAAAUGCGCAGAUAUCAGGAGGAACACCGAUGGCGAAGGCAGGUCUCUGGGCUGUAACUGACGCUGAGGAGCGAAAGCAUGGGGAGCGAACAGGAUUAGAUACCCUGGUAGUCCAUGCCGUAAACGUUGGGCACUAGGUGUGGGGGACAUUCCACGUUUUCCGCGCCGUAGCUAACGCAUUAAGUGCCCCGCCUGGGGAGUACGGCCGCAAGGCUAAAACUCAAAGGAAUUGACGGGGGCCCGCACAAGCGGCGGAGCAUGCGGAUUAAUUCGAUGCAACGCGAAGAACCUUACCAAGGCUUGACAUGAACCGGAAAGACCUGGAAACAGGUGCCCCGCUUGCGGUCGGUUUACAGGUGGUGCAUGGUUGUCGUCAGCUCGUGUCGUGAGAUGUUGGGUUAAGUCCCGCAACGAGCGCAACCCUCGUUCUAUGUUGCCAGCGCGUUAUGGCGGGGACUCAUAGGAGACUGCCGGGGUCAACUCGGAGGAAGGUGGGGACGACGUCAAAUCAUCAUGCCCCUUAUGUCUUGGGCUUCACGCAUGCUACAAUGGCCGGUACAAAGGGUUGCGAUACUGUGAGGUGGAGCUAAUCCCAAAAAGCCGGUCUCAGUUCGGAUUGGGGUCUGCAACUCGACCCCAUGAAGUCGGAGUCGCUAGUAAUCGCAGAUCAGCAACGCUGCGGUGAAUACGUUCCCGGGCCUUGUACACACCGCCCGUCAAGUCACGAAAGUUGGUAACACCC
This 1310-nucleotide ribosomal RNA is filed under the name Paenarthrobacter sp. RNAcentral's name for it is "bacterial SSU rRNA". It matches the Rfam family "Bacterial small subunit ribosomal RNA", at positions 101 to 1422 of the family's 1533-position model. The record is from RNAcentral. Lineage: Bacteria; Bacillati; Actinomycetota; Actinomycetes; Micrococcales; Micrococcaceae.